UACAGAGGUCUCAAGCGUUGUUCGGAUUCAUUGGGCGUAAAGGGUGCGUAGGCGGCGCGGUAAGUCGGGUGUGAAAUCUUGGAGCUUAACUCCGAAACUGCAUUCGAUACUGCCGUGCUUGAGGACUGGAGAGGAGACUGGAAUUUACGGUGUAGCGGUGAAAUGCGUAGAUAUCAGAAGGAACGCCGGUGGCGAAAGCGACUCUCUGGCUCGUAUCUGACGCUGAAACGCGAAAGCUUGGGUAGCAAACGGG
This 253-nucleotide ribosomal RNA is filed under the name uncultured bacterium. RNAcentral's name for it is "partial 16S ribosomal RNA". It matches the Rfam family "Bacterial small subunit ribosomal RNA", at positions 524 to 776 of the family's 1533-position model. The record is from RNAcentral.